UACGUAGGGUGCAAGCGUUGUCCGGAAUUAUUGGGCGUAAAGAGCUCGUAGGCGGUCUGUCGCGUCGGCUGUGAAAUCCCGAGGCUCAACCUCGGGUCUGCAGUCGAUACGGGCAAACUGGAGUACUGCAGGGGAGACUGGAAUUCCUGGUGUAGCGGUGAAAUGCGCAGAUAUCAGGAGGAACACCGGUGGCGAAGGCGGGUCUCUGGGCCGAUACUGACGCUGAGGAGCGAAAGCGUGGGGAGCGAACAGG
Molecule: ribosomal RNA, 253 nt
Filed under: uncultured bacterium
Lineage: Bacteria
Description: partial 16S ribosomal RNA
Rfam family: Bacterial small subunit ribosomal RNA
Source: RNAcentral